Molecule: ribosomal RNA, 454 nt
Filed under: uncultured bacterium
Lineage: Bacteria
Description: bacterial SSU rRNA
Rfam family: Bacterial small subunit ribosomal RNA
Source: RNAcentral
UACGGGAGGCAGCAGUGGGGAAUAUUGCACAAUGGGCGCAAGCCUGAUGCAGCCAUGCCGCGUGUAUGAAGAAGGCCUUCGGGUUGUAAAGUACUUUCAGUCGUGAGGAAGGUGUUAAGGUUAAUAACCUUAGCAAUUGACGUUAGCGACAGAAGAAGCACCGGCUAACUCCGUGCCAGCAGCCGCGGUAAUACGGAGGGUGCGAGCGUUAAUCGGAAUUACUGGGCGUAAAGGGCACGCAGGCGGUUAAUUAAGUUGGAUGUGAAAUCCCCGGGCUUAACCUGGGAAUGGCAUUCAAGACUGGUUAGCUAGAGUCUUGUAGAGGGGGUAGAAUUCCAUGUGUAGCGGUGAAAUGCGUAGAGAUGUGGAGGAAUACCGGUGGCGAAGGCGGCUCCGUGGACAAGACUGACGCUCAUGUGCGAAAGCGUGGGGAGCAAACGAGGAUUAGACUACC